Molecule: non-coding RNA, 97 nt
Organism: Mycena crocata
Lineage: Eukaryota; Fungi; Basidiomycota; Agaricomycetes; Agaricales; Mycenaceae
Source: the annotation of a GenBank genome assembly
GACCCGGUGGUGAAAUGAAUCACGUCCGCCGUAAAUAGUAUGGAAUUCGAUUCCGACGUGUCGGCAGAAGACACCCGUUCAAUUCGGGUCCGGGUCC